AUCCAAUUUUAGAAGAAAUCUUAUCUUAUUAAGCAGACUAGAUUCGAGAGGCUACAGGAUGGUAGCUAGUGGAGGAAUCCUAAAGGUGUUGCACGGUGAUAGGAUUAUUCUGGAGGAAAAGAAAAGGAUGAGAGGAUAUUACUAUCUAACCGAGAGUCCAGUAUGAGGUGGAGCUUUAGGAGCCAGGAGGAGCCUAGAGUGAGGUGGAGCUCCAGGUAGAGGUGGAUCGGGCACU
Molecule: long non-coding RNA, 235 nt
Filed under: Elaeis guineensis (African oil palm)
Lineage: Eukaryota; Viridiplantae; Streptophyta; Magnoliopsida; Arecales; Arecaceae
Description: long non-coding RNA (EGUI_LNC052747)
Source: RNAcentral